UACGAAGGGGGCUAGCGUUGCUCGGAUUGACUGGGCGUAAAGGGCGCGUAGGCGGUUCGUACAGUCAGACGUGAAAUUCCUGGGCUCAACCUGGGGGCUGCGUUUGAUACGUGCGGACUUGAGUGCGGAAGAGGGUCGUGGAAUUCCCAGUGUAGAGGUGAAAUUCGUAGAUAUUGGGAAGAAAACCGGUGGCGAAGGCGGCGACCUGGUCCGAUACUGACGCUGAGGCGCGAAAGCGUGGGGAGCAAACAGG
Molecule: ribosomal RNA, 253 nt
Filed under: uncultured bacterium
Lineage: Bacteria
Description: partial 16S ribosomal RNA
Rfam family: Bacterial small subunit ribosomal RNA
Source: RNAcentral